ACUCCUACGGGAGGCAGCAGUGGGGAAUAUUGCACAAUGGGCGCAAGCCUGAUGCAGCCAUGCCGCGUGUAUGAAGAAGGCCUUCGGGUUGUAAAGUACUUUCAGCGGGGAGGAAGGCGAUAAGGUUAAUAACCUUGUUGAUUGACGUUACCCGCAGAAGAAGCACCGGCUAACUCCGUGCCAGCAGCCGCGGUAAUACGGAGGGUGCAAGCGUUAAUCGGAAUUACUGGGCGUAAAGCGCACGCAGGCGGUCUGUCAAGUCGGAUGUGAAAUCCCCGGGCUCAACCUGGGAACUGCAUUCGAAACUGGCAGGCUAGAGGCUUGUAGAGGGGGGUAGAAUUCCAGGUGUAGCGGUGAAAUGCGUAGAGAUCUGGAGGAAUACCGGUGGCGAAGGCGGCCCCCUGGACAAAGACUGACGCUCAGGUGCGAAAGCGUGGGGAGCAAACAGGAUUAGAAACCCGGGUAGUCCC
RNAcentral lists this ribosomal RNA (470 nucleotides) under uncultured organism. RNAcentral's name for it is "partial 16S ribosomal RNA". It matches the Rfam family "Bacterial small subunit ribosomal RNA", at positions 335 to 797 of the family's 1533-position model. The record is from RNAcentral.